CUGCUUUGUGCUGUGGUGAACAUGUACCGGUGUACACGUGUGUAUACGUGUCCUGGUCUGGACAGAACUCUUUCAGGGAGCAGACUCUCUGUUACUGACCUUUAUGCCCCCAUGAGUAGCACGGUGUUUGGUGUGUAGAGUUUCAUUUAGGUGGAUGGUGGGGUAGUCGGGGUAGGUCAGUUGGUAGAUACUAGGAAGGUCGGUGUGACCACUCCUACCUGAUAGGUUGCCUAAAAACAGUUUCUCAGGAUGUCUUGUUCCUGAGGUGUGACAUAAAAAACAUGUUAUGGGUGUAAAAACCCCAUCUUGAUGGUUUUAUGCCUGAUUCCAACUGGUCUGUUUUUCUUUAAACUAGAGGAUGGCUUCCAAACUACAGAACACAUUCUGCCAGCUGUCAGUCCUAACAGCGGUGAUUUUCUUUUUUUUACAGUGUGGCAUACUUCUAGUUUAUAGAGCUAAAUAUUCUGAUGCUAACAGAUGCA
RNAcentral lists this long non-coding RNA (482 nucleotides) under Bos taurus (domestic cattle). RNAcentral's name for it is "long non-coding RNA NONBTAT004975". Lineage: Eukaryota; Metazoa; Chordata; Mammalia; Artiodactyla; Bovidae. The record is from RNAcentral.